CUUGUUGUUCUAACUACUUAGCAAAGAGAGCGUUUGUAAAUCAAGAAAGAUAAGAGGAGAAGAACCGACCGGAGAUGUCGGGGACGGUGGUGAGCAUGGCGAGGUCGAUGCUGAUGAGCGCCAUCAGCGUGGCUGCCUCUGCCGCUGCUGCUGAGAUGAGCCUCCUCAUUGGCGUCCACAAAGACAUCUGGUAUGUAUACUUUAUGUGAAGAGAAUCUGAUGAAGUCGUUAUAUUCACUUUCGAAAGUGCUCGCGUGUACUUAUUCUUGUAUCACAUGAAUUGCAUACCGAUAGUGUAAUUUUGGUCAAAUACAUGUCUUUUUUUUUCAAAAAGUGGGUGAUCCCCGGUCUCUGCAUCAGAACAAUGCAUACGGCCAUAAUUAUUAAUAAGCAAAAGGUUCAACACAAGUCUUCAUGUCUCGAACAAAGAAAGAAAAAGGCUCACAAAGAGCUAAAAAGUAAUAGGAAAGCCACAACCGGCUGGCGUAAAAAGAUAGGAUCACUAAUUGUCUAUCCUAUUACAUGACCGCCAUCCAAACUAGUUGAAAAUAACAUGUGCUACCAUCUCCCAUCAGAUAGAUCCAGUAACCAUACGCUCUCCGACCUCCGUCGGAGUGAGUAGCGACCACAUACGGAUCAACGCAAUGGCUUGGAAAAUAACCUGCAAAAAGUGAAUAUUUGUUGUUCUGUUAAUACCAAAUCAUUUCUGCAGUUCCAGACUGCCCAUAAUAAAGCACAUACUCCUACACGGAUGUGUCUUGCUGUUUCGGAAUCUAUCCCGUCUAGCCACGUCUCAAAUAACGUAUUGAUAGUAUUCGAAGGAGUAAUAUUAAAUGAUAUGUGGACCGUCCGCCACAAAAUUUUUGUCAAAGGGCAGUCAAGAAAGAGGUGUUUGAUGGAUUCAUCAUGGUCGCAAAAACUAAAUCUUGUAGAUCUUGUCCAGUUGCGUUUUGCCAAAUUAUUCUUAGUUAAAAUGACUUGUCAAAUACAUGUCUUAAAAUAGACAGACCUAUUUUAGGAUGUAAUUUGUUUUCCAUGACAUGCAUGAUCUUAUUCCCUGCUUAUCCAGUCUUGUUUGUUUGACUGAGAUAUGAUCAGUCAAAUGCAACUCACAAUGAGAAAUAUAUGAAUCUGGUUCAUUAUGCCAUGAGAGAGAUUGCUUUAUAUUUCUGGCUUUAUGAUGUGCUUGUCGAGUGAUAACUCUGUAAUAGCUUCUCAAUUAAUGAAAGGGGCCCUUUUGCCGCUGUUUCGAAAAUAAAAUAUUAUGAAUCUUUGUUUGGAUCGUUGUUGUAAUGCGCUCUUGCUCUUUCCCUCUUGAUGGAAAUACAUGUCAAUCCUUUCGCCUUCGUGAGAUAAAAAUUACUCUGACAUAUAGAUUUGACAAACUUCCCUGUGCACUAUUACAUUCCAUGAUCCAUAUGGCACCAAGAGUUAGCUCUAAUAAACUAUGCUUCGAAGGUUCAUCAGAGACGAGCUAGAGACCAUGCAUGCAUUCCUUUUGUCCAUAGAAGCAACGAAGAACAAAAGCAUGGUACUGCAGGUGUGGGCUAAGCAAGUAAGGGAUCUUUCCUAUGGUAUUGAGGAUUGUCUUGAUGAAUUUAUGGUGCAUGUGGAAAGCCAGAGCCGGUCUCGGCAGAUGUGUAAGAUGAAAGACCGCCAUCGGAUUGCCAACCAAAUCCGUGAUCUCAAAGCAAGAGUUGAAGAAGUGAGCAACAGGAACACAUGCUAUAACUUAAUCACAGUUGAUGCCUCCAGCAACAUUGAUGGGGUGAAUUCCUACAUGGAAGAUAUUCGCAACCACUCAGCUAGCAACAUUGACGAGGCAGAGCUUGUGGGAUUUGCUAAGCCUAAAGAGGAGUUGAUUAAGAUGGUGGAUGUCGACUCCAGAGAUGGUCUUUGCAAGGUGAUAUGUGUUGUUGGCAUGGGUGGUUUAGGAAAGACCACUCUUGCAAGGAAGGCAUAUGAAAGUAAGGAAGAUACUGUUAAUAAUUUUUCUUGUUGUGCCUGGGUCACAGUCUCACAGUCAUUUUCCAAGAUAGAUAUGCUCAAGGACAUGAUUAGGCAGCUAUUGGGUGCUGAUUCAUUGAAGAUUUUCUUGAAGGAACUUGAAGGGAGGGCGGUGCAAGUAGACAAUCUUGCUAGCUACCUGAGAGAAAAGCUAGUGGAGAAGAGGUACUUCAUUGUUCUUGAUGAUCUGUGGACAAUAGAUUCUUGGAAGUGGAUCAAAGAUAUUGCAUUUCCUAGUAGAAACAAUAAAGGUAGCCGGAUAAUAGUAACAACACGAGAUGAUGGCUUGGCUAAGGAGUGCAGAUCUGAAUCUCUUGUCUAUCACCUUAAGUACUUGCAAACAAAUGAUGCCACAAAAUUGCUACUAAUAAAGAGUAGGAAAACACAUCAAAACAUGGAUAAUGAUAAGGAAAUGAAGACCAUGGUUGACAAAAUAGUAAAGAAGUGUGGUGGUCUACCGCUGGCUGUACUCACUAUAGGAGGCAUGCUUGCCACCAAAAAAGUAACAGAGUGGGAGAGUAUCUAUAAACAAAUCCCCUUAGAGCUUGAGGUCAAUCCAAGCCUUGAAGCAAUGAGGAGGAUUGUUACUCUGAGCUACAACCACUUGCCAUCUCAUCUCAAGUCAUGUUUUUUGUAUCUAAGCAUCUUUCCUGAGGAUUCUGAAAUCAAAAGGAGACGUUUGGUGGAGAGAUGGAUAGCCGAGGGGUUUGUUAGAGCGAGGGCUGGGGUGAGCAUUGAGAAUGUGGGAAAUGGUUACUUUAAUGAGCUUGUCAACCGUAGCAUGAUUCAAUCUUCAAGUGUGAAUUUAGAAGGAGUUGUUAAGAGUUGUUGAGUCCAUGAUAUUGUGCGUGAUGUCAUGGUCUCAAUUUCCAGAGAUGAAAAUUUUGUGUAUGUGGCGGAAGAAAAUGUAACUAGUGCCGCAAAAGAGACAUUUCGCCAUCUAGCACACCAUGGUAGCAAGUUCCAGAAUAUUGGCAUGGAUUGGGGCCAUGUUCGGUCAUUGACCAUAUUUAGUGACAGACCAUUGGAAUCUUCAAUAUUUUCACCCGAGGCAAGAAUGCUCAGAAUCUUGGAUCUAGGGAAUGCACAAUUUCGAGUCACACAAGAGGAUGUCAAUAACAUAGGAUUGUUGUGCCACUUAAAGUAUGUGAAUUUUUCUAAUCCUAAAAGGUAUUCAUAUAUUUAUAAACUCCCAAGGUCCAUAGGAAAAUUACAGGGCUUGCGUACUUUGGACAUAAGAGGUAGUUAUAUUACAGAACUACCAACUGAGAUUAGUAAGCUCAAGAGCCUGCACAGUCUCCGUUGUACCAGAAAUAGUUCCUACGAAUACUUUGACCUGGAUGACCCCAAGGAAUGUUUGCUGACCACAUUUUGUCUGCCAGUGCUGUUCACACCUUUGGCUGAUCGUAUUGACGGCACUGAGGUAGUUGCUGAGCUCCACAUGGCAUGGUCUAGCCGUUGGUCCGGGUCAAUAGGUGUGAGGGUGCCAAAAGGAAUCGGCAACCUAAAAGAGCUACAAAUACUAGAGACCGUGGACGUCAGACGAACUAGUCGCAAAGCAAUUAAAGAGCUUGGUGAGCUUGUGCAACUGAGAAAACUAAGCUUGGCAAUGCAGGGGGCCACCAAGCAAAAAUGCAAGGUACUUUGUGAUGCCAUUCAGAAGCUCAGUUUCCUCCGCUAUCUUGUUGUGGUAAGUGACUCAAAUGGAAAAAUCGAGUGGCUGCACUCCGCUUCCUCUAUUCCUAUCCUGCUGAGAACCCUGGGCUUGUGUGGAUGCCUUGUAGAGAUUCCUGGCUGGUUUGUGAAUCUGUUGCAUUUGGUCAAGCUUUACUUACUGCGGAGCCAAAUAAAGGAAGACGGUAAAUUCAUGGAAAUACUAGGCGCACUGCCAAGCCUCGUUCACCUUUAUCUUGGAGUUGGCUCUUAUAUAGGGGGGAAGUUAGUGUUCAAAAUGGGAGCAUUCGCAAAUCUCAAGAAACUUGAUAUUUGGAGUCUGGAGCACCUGAGAGAGUUGAUAUUCGAGGAGGGAACCUCGCCCCAGUUAGAAAGGAUAGAAAUCGACUACUGCCGAUUGAAAUCAGGGAUCAUUGGUAUCGAGCACCUUGCAAGCCUCAAGGAGAUUUCACUUGGCUGGGAUGGUAAAGUGGCGAGGCUUGGUAUGCUGCAACAUAAAGUGGAGACACACCCCAACCGUCCUGUCCUGCGACUCAAGAUGGACCGGAGCCACCACGACCUGGGCGACGUCGUCCAAGGAUCUACUGCUUCAGUACAAGUGGAGGAAGCAACAGUGGAGGAGGAAUCAUCUCUCCAUGCUGACCCUGCAGCAGCGGGAGAGAGCUCCUCCUGGCAGGUGGUGGCCGUGACGAAGUGGAGCAACAGUGAUGAAGAUGAUCUGCGCUGAAGAUGAGUUUAGGGUUGUAGCUGAUGAUUGAUUUCUUCUCCGUUCCAUCAUUCUCUUCUCCGAUCGCCUCGAUUGACCUCUCAACUGAUGAUGAGUUCCACCAUGCUUGCAAGAGGUGUUGCUCGUUUCCAUUUGAAGGCAACGGUGAUGAUGAAGACGAUGAUAACUUUUGUUGCUGCUCCAUCCAUUCUUUACCAUGUUGGAGGAACUGGAGCACACAUCUGCUUGAUGAAUGUGCUUUGAGCAGGGAACUCCUCAAUCUGAAGGGAACAAAGAUCCAUACAUCCUGUGCCUCACGAAAAUGUCGAGUGAAGUUGGAAGCCAUUGCAUCUUUUUCUGAUCCAGGAGAGAGUUCUUGCUGUCGCUGUCUCAACAGUCCAAGUGCCUCUGAGACAUGACCCGACAAGUGAUCAUCCUGAUGUCUGGAUGAAUUGGGGAAACUCUGCUUGUCUGUUGAGAUUUGAGUACGGAGCGCGUCGAUCUGAAGAUUGAAAUGAACAAAUAUCCUUACAUCCUGUGCUACCAAGCGCAUUGAAUAAUGUCGAGUGAAGUCCGAAGCCAUUGGACCGUUUUCUGAUCCAAAGAUAGAGUUCUCGCUAUCGCUGUUCCGACGGUCCAAGUGCCUCUGAAACAUGAACCAUGAAGUGAUCAUCCUGAUAACUGGUUCAGUGCACACAAUACAUUCGCUGAUGAAAUAAAAAUAAUGCAUGCACGGCCAUCACGCCCAGCUUUCCAAGUCAGCUGGUGGUGACUCUAUAUGCCGCAAAAUGAAGCUGAGAGCCUGAGACAUGACUUGAUGUUCCUAAGGUGUGAAUAUCAGAGGAAUGCAGUGCUGUUUGGGGAACUCAAUGUAAGGGAAUCGAUGAAGAUACCGUGAUUUCAAGAUCUUAGGAGCAGUUUACAAUCGGUAUUUGGGGAGCCCCAUGGAAUUGAUCAACCUUAUUUGAAGACGUGCAAUUAAUUGUGAAUAUAGACUCACUUUGUUUACUAGUACUCUCUCUGUUUUUCAGAGAUGAUUUAUUACUCUCCAUUUGUUGCUACCAAUAUAUUUGCAGCUGUUUGUGAAAAAAAAAAUGAGGAUUGCAUGUGGUGUUAUUCAUGUUGAACACAUCUGCUAUAUCUGAGUUUAGCAGACUGAAUUCGACGAAAUGUGCCUGCUAUGGCUGCACCCUUGUCCUUCCCCAUGUAACAUCAGAUCAAGCUUGAUGCAUUUAACUUUGCCG
This 5631-nucleotide ribosomal RNA is filed under the name Triticum aestivum (bread wheat). RNAcentral's name for it is "partial small subunit ribosomal RNA". Lineage: Eukaryota; Viridiplantae; Streptophyta; Magnoliopsida; Poales; Poaceae. The record is from RNAcentral.